Molecule: non-coding RNA, 1320 nt
Organism: Pogona vitticeps (central bearded dragon)
Lineage: Eukaryota; Metazoa; Chordata; Lepidosauria; Squamata; Agamidae
Source: RefSeq, a predicted model, not a curated record
GCCUACCCCAAGGCUUAAAAAUCAAAUGGAACCAAAUCCUGAACACAAAUACAGAGAAAACCCUUCUUCUUUUUGCAUAUGUGUAUGGGACAAAUUUACCCCCUUUGCAUCCUGUUCCUCUUGGUACAUUUGUGUAGUUGGUGCACAUUGUGUCUCUUUUGUGGUUUGUGUAUGGUCCCAUUUGUGUUCAGCCUCCUCUCUCCCUGUCCCUUUUUCUUGCUCCGCUUACCCACCUGUCUGGAUGUGUUUGGGCAUCUGUCUUGUCAGCAUGUUUGCCCCCUCUACUUGACACACUGUUCAUCACUGUCAAAAGCCCAUUCGCUCAGGCCAGUGCCAUUUGGGAAUGCAGGAACUGCACAUCAAAGCCCCAGAGUUCUGGAAAGCUCUUUCCCUACCAGUGGCUCAUGGUUCCCAGGACUGGGUGAGAAACCUGACUAUCCAAACUUACACAGUUCAUUAAUGCUUCCACAGAUCACUGGAAGCUCCAGUUCCCCUUCCCCAUCAGUGGAUCCAAGAUAGCUCCACGGGGCAACUGUCUGCCAUUUACCCAAGGGCUUGUAAAACUCGCCAAACUUCCUCAUAAACUCCCAGCAAAGAGGGUUUCAUUUUUUAAGAAAUUCCAGCCCAGCUCAUAUCAGAUUCCAGAAACCUCGGUGGGGAAGAGUGGUGGAUGCGGUCUCCAGAAGCAGCAAUCGGGGGCAGAAAAAGGGUAUUUCAGGUCUGGAGCCAGGAUAACAGAACAGUUUUAUGUCUACUCCAAAACUGCAAAGUGUGUUUAGGCUUGUGACCUAAGUACAGACAUUUGCACAUCUACUCAGAAAUACGUUCCACCAAGCUUGGGAUUACAUAAAGACAACCGCCAACAUCCUAGGGGAGAUAUCAGUCCUAGGAGAAAACAACAAAAAGUCUGGUUUGUAAACAUCCCCACAAGAGAAAGAAAACAGAACACAAGGCAAGAGCAAAACAUCAGAGAAGGAGUUUUUUCUGUGGUCCUCUAAAGAUGAAAUGUGAGCAGUAACAUGGAGACAGCCGAGGAAUAAUGCAUUAUUAACAAUUUAAGAGCAAACCACCCAUUCUUGCAGCAAGUCAAACAGCGAGCUAAAUGUCCAUGUAGUCAGCCUCUUAAGAUUUUUUUUAUGCAGGUGAAAUCUUUUAUUUAUCUGAUAUUUUAAGUAAUGAUAAAAUGUUGAAAAUUGUAACAAACAAAAUAUGUCUGCAGGUUUUGCCCUCUUUUUCCACAUGCUAGAUUGUAUAUCUGUGUAUCAAAGUCCAUAUAACAUGCUUCUCAGUAGUUUUCCCAGAUAGAGCUUAUUUUCUUUG